Molecule: ribosomal RNA, 1839 nt
Filed under: Triticum aestivum (bread wheat)
Lineage: Eukaryota; Viridiplantae; Streptophyta; Magnoliopsida; Poales; Poaceae
Description: partial small subunit ribosomal RNA
Source: RNAcentral
AUGUCGAAGCUCGCCAACCAGCCGCCGCCGCCAUCGUCGGAUAUGGAUGUUGACUCCGCAGCCGCGGUCGAGGAGAAGAAUCCCGUCAGGUUCUCCAUCAAUGUGCUGGAACUCAUGAGGGAGGCGCAGAUGCAGCACGGCCUUCGCCACGGCGACUACACACGGUACAGGAGAUACUGUACUGCGCGUCUGAGAAGGCUAUACAAGUCUCUGAAGUUUUUGCAUGGCCGUGGUAAAUAUACCCGGAGGAAUAUAACAGAGUCAACAGUGACUGAUGUGAGGUUUCUACAUGUGGUAUUUUAUAUGGCUGAGAGAGCAUGGAGUCAUGCUAUGGAGAAGAAAACUGCUGGUCCAAAUGCACCGCAGCGCAUCUACAUGCUGGGUCGAUUUAGGAAGGCAGUCAAAUGGGCGGCACUUUUUUCACAGUUAUGUUCUAUAAAAGGAGAUUCCAGGACAUCUUUGGAAGCUGAGGCAUAUGCUUCAUAUAUGAAAGGAACUUUGCUUUUUGAGCAAGAGAAGAACAUAGAGGCAGCAAUGUUGAAUUUCAAGAAUACCAGGACUGUAUACGAGGAGCUUGGGAAGUAUGGCAGCAUAGAAAAUCAACUUUUAUGCCGUCAGCGCAUUGAGGAAGUGGAGCCUAUGAUUGGAUUCUGUUCACGCAAACUUGGUGGAUCUGCUCUGCAAGAACAUGAUCUCCUAGAUAUGGAAAAGGAGGGGCCUGCUUAUGACCUUUUUAAAGCUAAGAUUGAGGCUGUAUUAUCUGAGACAAGGUCACAGCAGGCGGCUUCUAUGACUGAGUUUAACUGGCUUGGUCGCAGAUUUCCAAUUACCAGUGCAAAGACCCGUGUCUCCAUAUUAAAAGCUCAGCAGCUGGAGAGGGAUUUAAAUGGCGCAGCCACAGAACCAAUCCCAGCAGACAAAAAACUUGCUAUUUUUGAUAAACUAUUCUCUGCAUACCACGAAGCUCGAAGCUGCAUCCGCAAUGAUUUGGCUUCUGCUGGCAAUGCUGAGAAUAUAAGAGACGAAUUGAAUGGUCUUGACAAGGCCGUCAGUGCAGUUUUAGGAUCGAGGACCAUAGAACGUAACCAGUUACUUGUUAGUAUUGCUAAAAGUAAGUUUGCAAAGCAUCGGGAUGAGAAGAAUGAGAAAAUUACAAAGCCGGAAGAACUUGUUAGGCUAUAUGAUCUGCUAAUUCAGAAUACAACAGACCUAACUGAUUUAGUUAGCUCAGGAAGGGAUAAAAACGAAGAAGAGAACGCUUUUGUUCAUGAGUAUGAGCUGAAAGAUUUGGCAUUCCGAGCUGAGAGAUGUUUCUAUUUGGCAAAGUCAUAUAGUUCAGUCAGUAAAAGGGCCGAAGCCUAUGCGUUAUUCUGUUAUGCACGUUCCCUUGCUGAUUCUGCACUGCAAGAACUGGCCAACAGUCCUCACAAGGUACUUGAGUCUAACUCAAAUGCUCUUACUUUACAGACCUUAAUCCAAGAUCUCGAGGCUCUAUCUUUCAAUUGUAGAUCCAAUAGUUGCAUUGAACAUGCAACAGGUAUUAUGGAGGAUGAGAGUGCUCCUGAAAAACUUUCUAAAGGAGUCUCAACUAUAUCACUUGGCGACGAUAAAAGAAAGGAUACUAAAUACCUCCUUGAUAUCCUAGGGAGCUAUGAAUCAGCACUUGGUGAGCAAAGCGCCAAAGCGCCAUGUCGCAUUUCACAGUUCCCACCACCGUUCCAAUCAGUUCCCUGCAACCCAAUUGUUCUUGACAUGGCAUAUAACGCAAUCGAAUUCCCGAACCUUGAGAACAGGAUGAAGAAGGAAAAGAAGGGUCUCCUCCGCAGAUUCUGGGGGUGA